GAUUUCUGGUGUGGUGCGCCGAGCCCGCCGCCGUCAAGGCGGUGAGUGCUUGCGCGCGCCUACCAUCCUUCCGGAGGGCCCGCUCUACUCUUAACUGGGCGGAGUUGGCGAUCUGGAUCAUUUACUUUGAAAAAAUUAGAGUGUUUAAAGCAGGCGUUUGUUAUGAAUACAUUAGCAUGGAAUAAUAAGAUAGGACUUUGGUUCUAUUUUGUUGGUUUCUAGGACUGAAGUAAUGAUUGAUAGGGACAGUUGGGGGUGCUAGUAUUUAACGGCCAGAGGUGAAAUUCUUGGAUUCGUUAAAGACUAACUUAUGCGAAAGCAUU
RNAcentral lists this ribosomal RNA (323 nucleotides) under uncultured Protaspa. RNAcentral describes it as "SSU rRNA". The stretch from base 79 to 323 matches the Rfam family "Eukaryotic small subunit ribosomal RNA", at positions 709 to 955 of the family's 1831-position model. Lineage: Eukaryota; Cercozoa; Thecofilosea; Cryomonadida. The record is from RNAcentral.